RNAcentral lists this ribosomal RNA (263 nucleotides) under uncultured bacterium. Its description in RNAcentral is "partial 16S ribosomal RNA". It matches the Rfam family "Bacterial small subunit ribosomal RNA", at positions 526 to 779 of the family's 1533-position model. The record is from RNAcentral.
CGUAGGGCGCAAGCGUUGUCCGGAAUUAUUGGGCGUAAAGAGCUCGUAGGCGGUUUGUCGCGUCUGCUGUGAAAGCCCGGGGCUUAACCCGUCGGUGUGCAGUGGGUACGGGCGAGACUUGAGUGCAGUAGGGGAGGACUGGAAGUUCCUGGUGUAGCGGUGAAAUAGCGCAGAUAUCAGGAGGAACACCGAUGGCGAAGGCGAGGUCGUCUGGGCGUGUUACUGACGCUGAGGAGCGAAAGCAUGGGGAGGCGAACAGGAUU